AUUGAACGCUGGCGGCAGGCCUAACACAUGCAAGUCGAACGAGUGGCGGACGGGUGAGUAAUGUCUGGGAAACUGCCUGAUGGAGGGGGAUAACUACUGGAAACGGUAGCUAAUACCGCAUACCAUCAGAUGUGCCCAGAUGGGAUUAGCUAGUUGGUGGGGGAAAGGCUCACAAAGGCGACGAUCCCUAGCUGGUCUGAGAGGAUGACCAGCCACACUGGAACUGAGACACGGGCCAGACGCAGACGGGAGGAAGCAGUAGGGAUUAUUGCACAAUGGGCGCAAGCCUGAUGCAGCCAUGCCGCGUGUAUGAAGAAGGCCUUCGGGUUGUAAAGUACUUUCAGCGGGGAGGCGUUACCCGCAGAAGAAGCACCGGCUAAUUCCGUGCCAGCAGCCGCGGUAAUUC
Molecule: ribosomal RNA, 406 nt
Filed under: uncultured bacterium
Lineage: Bacteria
Description: partial 16S ribosomal RNA
Rfam family: Bacterial small subunit ribosomal RNA
Source: RNAcentral